AGCGAACGCUGGCGGCAGGCCUAACACAUGCAAGUCGAACGAACCUUUCGGGGUUAGUGGCGGACGGGUGAGUAACACGUGGGAACGCGCCUUUAGGUUCGGAAUAACUCAGGGAAACUUGUGCUAAUACCGAAUGUGCCCUUCGGGGGAAAGAUUUAUCGCCUUUAGGGCGGCCCGCGUCUGUUUAGCUAGUUGGUUGAGGUAAUGGCUCACCAAGGCGACGAUCAGUAGCUGGUCGGAGAGGAUGAUCAGCCACAUUGGGACUGAGACAGGGCCCAAACCCUGGGGGAAGGGGGGAAGGGGGAUCCUGCGGCACUGGCCGAAGGCCGAGGGAGCCCGGGCGGGGUGAUGGUGGAGGGGUUAGGAUUGUAAAAUUCUUUCACCGGGGACGAUAAUGACGGUACCCGGAGAAGAAGCCCCGGCUAACUUCGUG
RNAcentral lists this ribosomal RNA (433 nucleotides) under uncultured bacterium. RNAcentral describes it as "partial 16S ribosomal RNA". It matches the Rfam family "Bacterial small subunit ribosomal RNA", at positions 30 to 507 of the family's 1533-position model. The record is from RNAcentral.